GAUGAACGCUGGCGGCGUGCCUAAUACAUGCAAGUCGAGCGAACAGAUGAGGAGCUUGCUCCUCUGACGUUAGCGGCGGACGGGUGAGUAACACGCGGAUAACCUACCUAUAAGACUGGGAUAACUUCGGGAAACCGGAGCUAAUACCGGAUAAUAUAUUGAACCGCAUGGUUCAAUAGUGAAAGACGGUUUUGCUGUCACUUAUAGAUGGAUCCGCGCCGCAUUAGCUAGUUGGUAAGGUAACGGCUUACCAAGGCAACGAUGCGUAGCCGACCUGAGAGGGUGAUCGGCCACACUGGAACUGAGACACGGUCCAGACUCCUACGGGAGGCAGCAGUAGGGAAUCUUCCGCAAAGGGCGAAAGCCUGACGGAGCAACGCCGCGUGAGUGAUGAAGGUCUUCGGAUCGUAAAACUCUGUUAUUAGGGAAGAACAAAUGUGUAAGUAACUAUGCACGUCUUGACGGUACCUAAUCAGAAAGCCACGGCUAACUACGUG
Molecule: ribosomal RNA, 497 nt
Filed under: uncultured bacterium
Lineage: Bacteria
Description: partial 16S ribosomal RNA
Rfam family: Bacterial small subunit ribosomal RNA
Source: RNAcentral